Acanthosepion pharaonis is the source of this 99-nucleotide non-coding RNA. Lineage: Eukaryota; Metazoa; Mollusca; Cephalopoda; Sepiida; Sepiidae. The record is from the annotation of a GenBank genome assembly.
CGUUCAAACACUGGUUCCUGUAUGAUCACUGAGGUUAAGCAACGUCGAGCCUGGUCAAUACCCAGAUGGGUGACCGUUUUGGAAUACGAGGUGCUGUAA